UACGUAGGUGGCAAGCGUUAUCCGGAUUUAUUGGGUGUAGAGGGCGUGUAGGCGGGAGCGCAAGUCAGAUGUGAAGACUCAGGGCUCAACCCUGAGCCUGCAUUUGAAACUGUGUUUCUUGAGUGCUGGAGAGGCAAUCGGAAUUCCGUGUGUAGCGGUGAAAUGCGUAGAUAUACGGAGGAACACCAGUGGCGAAGGCGGAUUGCUGGACAGUAACUGACGCUGAGGCGCGAAAGCGUGGGGAGCAAACAGG
RNAcentral lists this ribosomal RNA (253 nucleotides) under uncultured bacterium. RNAcentral describes it as "partial 16S ribosomal RNA". It matches the Rfam family "Bacterial small subunit ribosomal RNA", at positions 524 to 776 of the family's 1533-position model. The record is from RNAcentral.